GAUGAACGCUGGCGGCGUGCCUAAUACAUGCAAGUCGAGCGAACAGACGAGGAGCCUGCUCCUCUGACGUUAGCGGCGGACGGGUGAGUAACACGUGGAUAACCUACCUAUAAGACUGGGAUAACUUCGGGAAACCGGAGCUAAUACCGGAUAAUAUAUUGAACCGCAUGGUUCAAUAGUGAAAGACGGUUUUGCUGUCACUUAUAGAUGGAUCCGCGCCGCAUUAGCUAGUUGGUAAGGUAACGGCUUACCAAGGCGACGAUGCGUAGCCGACCUGAGAGGGUGAUCGGCCACACUGGAACUGAGACACGGUCCAGACGCCUACGGGAGGCAGCAGUAGGGAAUCUUCCGCAAUGGGCGAAAGCCUGACGGAGCAACGCCGCGUGAGUGAUGAAGGUCUUCGGAUCGUAAAACUCUGUUAUUAGGGAAGAACAAAUGUGUAAGUAACUAUGCACGUCUUGACGGUACCUAAUCAGAAAGCCACGGCUAACUACGU
RNAcentral lists this ribosomal RNA (496 nucleotides) under uncultured bacterium. RNAcentral describes it as "partial 16S ribosomal RNA". It matches the Rfam family "Bacterial small subunit ribosomal RNA", at positions 28 to 506 of the family's 1533-position model. The record is from RNAcentral.